RNAcentral lists this long non-coding RNA (1654 nucleotides) under Papio anubis (olive baboon). RNAcentral's name for it is "lncRNA (ENSPANG00000046916.1)". Lineage: Eukaryota; Metazoa; Chordata; Mammalia; Primates; Cercopithecidae. The record is from RNAcentral.
CUGAUAUAUUUAUUUUUGCAUGGAUAACGUGCCUGAUGAUAGAAGACUGUAUUUAUUCUGUCAAUUUGUGAAUAUAAAACACUAUGGACUAGUUACAUAGAUGUUGUUCACUAGAAUAUAUCAGGCAAAGAUUUUGAAUGUAGAUACCAAGCACCGCAGGUAACAGGUGUGCUGGAAACAUGUUAAUUGAUGGCCCUCCUAGUGUAAAUGCAUGGUGAGAGAUCAUGAUUAUUGUACAUUUCCUGUGGUGCUGCAGAGGAAAUAUAGGUUUAAGUGCAACUGCAAAGAUUCUGACAUAGUGAAAUGCUUGAAGAAAAAGUAAGCUUUUUGGUACACUUAUCAAAAGAAAAGUAAGCUUUUUUGUGUACCUAAAGAACAAAGCACUAUUUAUGUGAAAGCAAAAGCUGAUUGCCGUUGGUCAUAUUGGUCAAAGUUCUAUUGAGGAAUUUGUCAGUUAACUGGAGUUUUUAACAUCAGAGCUUAGCUACUCUAUCCAUAAACUCAUGAUCAUGCAUGAGAAACCGUGAGGGCGUAGCUGCUGCCAAACUCCGAAGAUGAUGUGACAAGAGACCAAAUUUCAUCAACAACACCCUGAGAGGAGCCGGUCGGCCAAAGGGAACAGCAGGGGAAACCCCUACCACUUAACGCAGAAAAUGCUUAUAACAGCUCCGCUCCACCUCUACAUUUGCCACAUCUGCUGCAAAAUACUUCAUCAGGCUGAAAGGCGAGAGUUUCGCUGUUGUUGCUUAGGCCCGAGUGCAAUAGUGCGAUUUCGGCUCACCGCAACUUCCGCCUCCCAGGUUCAAGCGAUUCUCCUACCUCAGCCUCCUGAGUAGCUGGGAUGAUAGGCGUGAGCCACUGCACCCGGCCAAAGUCUAUAUUGUCUGGUAUAAUUGUAGACACUCAUGCUCUCUUUUGGUUAUCGUUUGCAUAAAGUAUUUUCUUUCACUCCAUCACUUUCAGUGUAUAUGUGUCCUUAAAGCUUAAGUGAGUCUUGUAUAGGCAGCAUAUUGUCAGAUAUAGUUUUUAAUAAUCUAUUCAGCAAUUAUAUAUCUUUGAUUAGAUAAUUUAAUUCACUUAUAUUUAAAAUAAUUGUUGAUAGGUAAGAAUUUGCUAUUGGCAUUUUUGUUAGUUGCUUUUGUAUUGCUUUGCUUUUCUUUUCCUCCUCUUACUGUCUUCCUUUGCAACUUAAUGAUUUUCCCCAAUGGUAUGCUUUGAUUCCUUUAUAUUUGUCUUCUAUGUAUCUACUACAGCUUUUUUCUUUGUGGUUACCAUGAGGAUUACAUAAAUAUCUCAUAGUUUAAAAAAAGUAUAUUUUAAGCUGGUAAGAACAUAAUUCUACCACAUACAAAACUAUACUUUUAUAAAUGACCAAAAAGUGUAUGAGAAAGUGUUCAACAUCACUAAUCAACAGAGAAAUACAAAUCAAAACCAAUAUGAGGUGUCACUUCACACCUGUUAGGAUGGCUGUUAUCAAAAAGACAGAAGAUUACAAGUAUUGGUGAAAAUGUGGAGAAAAGGGAAUCCUUGUACACUAUUGGGGAGGGGGCAUUUUACAUUGGUAUAGCUAUUGUGAAAAACAGUGUGAAGUUUCCUCAAAAAAUAAAAAUUAGAACUACCAUAUGAUUUGACAAUUCCACCCCUGGAUAUAUAU